This 1761-nucleotide long non-coding RNA is filed under the name Sus scrofa (pig). RNAcentral describes it as "lncRNA (ENSSSCG00005040693.1)". Lineage: Eukaryota; Metazoa; Chordata; Mammalia; Artiodactyla; Suidae. The record is from RNAcentral.
UAGUGGUUAGAGUUCUAGUUUAUGUACAGUCAGCCCUCUGUAUCUGCAGGUUCUGCAUCCAUGUGUUCAAAGACAUGCAGUUAAAAAAAAUUUUUUUUUAAGUUCCAGAAAGUUCCAAAAAGCAAAACUGGAAUUUGCCACACUGGCGACUAUUUACAUAUCAUUUACAUUGUAUUUACAACUACUUGCAUAGUAUUUACAUUGUAUUAGGUAUUAUAAGUAAUCUAAAGACAAUUUAAAAUAUAUAGGAGUUUGUGCAAAGUUUAUAGGCAAAAGUUUGCUAUUUCAUAUGAGACGAGCCUCUUUUGAUUUUGACAUAGGGAUGUGGGUCCUGGAACCAAUCCCCUGCAGUUACCAAGAGACAACUCAAUUAUGAAUGUAAAAAUAACGAGCUUCAUGUUGUGUUUGAAUCUGAAACAAGCUAGAAUCACUUCAUUCCAAAAACAGCUGCUUAAAGCAAAGCUAAUUGAACUGUUUUCUUCCCACUCUGAACAAAGGAAGAAAGCAAAGGAAAAAAAAAUUCAGUGAUAGUUAUAACAAGUAAAUAAUAGAUAUUUAUUGGAGGAAUUAUAUAACUAUUUUCUGCAGAAAAGUUUUUUGACUCCAGUUUUAUAUCACGUGUGACUAUAGACAGUCUAGUUUCUAAGAACCAUCUAACAAUAUGAGCAUACUAUUUUAUUUAUAUCGAAUGGAAAAAAUUUAAAAAGUAAAUCUAUCAGGAUACAGAACUAAAAUGAAAGAGUCUUAGGGGAUUCAUAUUCACUGGAAUUAUUCAGUUAUUUAAAGCUCUUUUUAGUUUCAGUUUUCUUCUCACUUUCUAGCAAGACCUAACACAGUAUAAACUAUCAAUGAAAAAUAUCUCUAAGUCUAGGGAGACACUUUCCUCUCUAUGCAUGAUUUUUUUUGCUUUUCAUAUUUCACUUUAAUCAAGGCUACAUAGAAUAAGAUUCUAAUUUCACAUUUUUCUCACAACUAAAAAGGGAAGUAUAUAUUUCUAGUCCACACAAAAACAAUUCUACAUAAUACCGACUCUUCAUAUUCUUCAGGAUAUUUAGGAUACUAAAAACAUAAGUGAAUAAAUGUGAGUGCACAGGAAGCUAACAGAUGAGAAGAACAUGGGUGGGCAACACACAGUAAUCUAGUGAUACACAUUUCAAGAAAGUUGGUUUGGGGGGGCAGGAAGGGUUGGCCACCCCGCAGCAUGUGGAAGUUCCUAAGCCAGAGAUCGAACCCAUACCCAAGCUGCUGCACUGUGGAUCCUUAACCCACUGUGCUACAAGAAAGCUCCUAGUUGCCUGUUUUCUUAACGGAAGUUUUGUCAAGGCUAGGAGACAUUAGUCAUGGGAGUUUCCACAGAAUCAGCAGGUGAGAAUGGCUGGCAUGACAAAAAGUAUGAAUGUCAAAACCUCCUUGAAGAAUUUUAUUUUAUUUUCUUCUUUUUAGGCCUGCAUCUGAGGCAUAUGGAAGUUCCUGGGUUAGGGGUUGAAUUGGAGUUGCAGCUGCAGCCUACCCCACAGCCCAGGCAAUGCCAGAUCCUAAACCCACUGAGCAAGGCCAGGGAUCCAACCCACAUCCUCAUGGAUACUAGUUGGGUUCUUAACCUGCUGAUUUUUUCCCAAUGGGAACUCCUCCUUGUAGUUUUUUCUUUUCUUUUUUUUUUUUUUUGCUUUUUAGGGCCGCACCUGUAGUAUAUGGAGUUCCCAUUGUGGUGCAGCGGAAAUGAAACCAGCUAGUAUCCAUGAGGACAAGGGUUUGAUCCCU